CCUCUGGCCACAUUGGUAUUACUAUAUACACUGAGAAAUGCUCUUUUGCACUAAUUUUGCUUGCAAUUUUCAAGGCCAAUUCCAUAGGGAUUAAGUUAUCUGCGCCUGCAUUUUUGUAUGAUGGCCAAUAGUAGGAAGAUCCAAGAAAAUACUGGUUCUCAAUGUAUAUGAAAUGUUGCGCUGAUCUUAUUACAUUUAUAUAUGCUGUAUGAAUGCUCUUAUCUACUUUCAGGUUCUUCCCACACACAAGAUUCUGAGCCAUAGCUUCGUCAGUAGCUUUUGGAAAACCCUUCACAGAUCCCGAGUCAAUAGACCGGAAUAUCUGCACAUGCCAAUUCUCAGGAUCUUCUUCAUCAGUGACACGCACAUUUUUGU
RNAcentral lists this unclassified non-coding RNA (375 nucleotides) under Hevea brasiliensis (rubber tree). Lineage: Eukaryota; Viridiplantae; Streptophyta; Magnoliopsida; Malpighiales; Euphorbiaceae. The record is from RNAcentral.